This 257-nucleotide ribosomal RNA is filed under the name uncultured bacterium. RNAcentral's name for it is "partial 16S ribosomal RNA". It matches the Rfam family "Bacterial small subunit ribosomal RNA", at positions 524 to 776 of the family's 1533-position model. The record is from RNAcentral.
UACAGAGACCUCAAGCGUUAUCCGGAAUCAUUGGGCGUAAAGCGUACCGAUAGGUGGUUUUACAAGUCAGAAGUGAAAUCUCAAAGCUUAACUUUGAGUCUGUCUUUUGAAACUGUAAAACUAGAGGGGCAAAGAGGAAGCUGGAACGAACGGUGUAGUAGUGAAAUGCGUUGAUAUCGUUCGGAACACCAAUAGCGUAGGCAAGCUUCUGGGUGCCACCUGACACUGCUAGGACGAAAGCGUGGGGAGCGAAUGGG